AUUCCUUCGGCAGCACAUAUGCUAAAAUCGGAACGAUACAGAGAAGAUUAGUCAUGGCCUCUGCUCAAGGAUGACACGCAAAUUCGUGACAUGUUCCAUACAAUU
This is a small nuclear RNA of Rattus norvegicus (Norway rat), 105 nucleotides long. The record is from Ensembl. NCBI's taxonomy places the organism in Eukaryota, Metazoa, Chordata, Mammalia, Rodentia, Muridae.